Molecule: unclassified non-coding RNA, 339 nt
Filed under: uncultured fungus
Lineage: Eukaryota; Fungi
Description: sequence contains ITS1
Rfam family: 5.8S ribosomal RNA (bases 1-105)
Source: RNAcentral
GAAUUGCGAAAAGUAGUGUGACUUGCAAUGCUCGUGAACCAUCGAAUCUUUGAACGCACAUUGCGCUUCGCGGCCCAUCCGUGGAGCAUGCCUGGUUGAGUGUCCGUAAACCCACUCUCUCUCCACCAUUUGUUUGGCGGCGAGGGGAUAUAUGGAGUAACAUUUUUUUGUUAGCAAAGGCGGCACAGCCUUCGCACUCUGCAAUGUAGGUGAAGCCUCCUAGGAUUAUCGAUAAGAAUAAUCCCCUGCGCAAAAGCCUGGGGAGAUUCCGAUUAUUUUGGCGUCGUAGCCUUUGUGCCUAGCGCCAGAGUUUUACAUGUCGUGAAUCUCACGUUUUUU